GGGGAUAUGGCUCAACUGGUAGAGUACUUGCCUAGCAAAAGCAAGGCCCUGAGUUCAAUCCCCAGUAUCUCAG
RNAcentral lists this transfer RNA (73 nucleotides) under Dipodomys ordii (Ord's kangaroo rat). It matches the Rfam family "tRNA". From Rfam's summary of the family: Transfer RNA (tRNA) molecules are approximately 80 nucleotides in length. Their secondary structure includes four short double-helical elements and three loops (D, anti-codon, and T loops). The record is from Rfam by way of RNAcentral. Lineage: Eukaryota; Metazoa; Chordata; Mammalia; Rodentia; Heteromyidae.